This 153-nucleotide ribosomal RNA is filed under the name Beauveria brongniartii. RNAcentral describes it as "5.8S ribosomal RNA". It matches the Rfam family "5.8S ribosomal RNA". From Rfam's summary of the family: 5.8S ribosomal RNA (5.8S rRNA) is a component of the large subunit of the eukaryotic ribosome. It is transcribed by RNA polymerase I as part of the 45S precursor that also contains 18S and 28S rRNA. Lineage: Eukaryota; Fungi; Ascomycota; Sordariomycetes; Hypocreales; Cordycipitaceae. The record is from RNAcentral. RNAcentral also lists the same sequence under 2 other names.
AAACUUUCAACAACGGAUCUCUUGGCUCUGGCAUCGAUGAAGAACGCAGCGAAAUGCGAUAAGUAAUGUGAAUUGCAGAAUCCAGUGAAUCAUCGAAUCUUUGAACGCACAUUGCGCCCGCCAGCAUUCUGGCGGGCAUGCCUGUUCGAGCGU